This 301-nucleotide ribosomal RNA is filed under the name uncultured bacterium. Its description in RNAcentral is "partial 16S ribosomal RNA". It matches the Rfam family "Bacterial small subunit ribosomal RNA", at positions 509 to 808 of the family's 1533-position model. The record is from RNAcentral.
CAGUAGCCGCGGUAAUACGAGGGGGGCAAGCGUUGUUCGGAAUUAUUGGGCGUAAAGGGUGCGUAGGCGGCUUGACAAGUCUUGUGUGAAAUCUAUGGGCUCAACCCAUAGUCUGCACGGGAAACUGUCGGGCUUGAGAGUGGGAGAGGUGAGUGGAAUUUCCGGUGUAGCGGUGAAAUGCGUAGAUAUCGGAAAGAACACCAACGGCGAAAGCACUCUGCUGGGCCGACACUGACACUGAGAGACGAAAGCUAGGGGAGCAAAUGGGAUUAGAUACCCCAGUAGUCCCUGUCUCUAUACA